This 492-nucleotide ribosomal RNA is filed under the name uncultured bacterium. RNAcentral's name for it is "partial 16S ribosomal RNA". It matches the Rfam family "Bacterial small subunit ribosomal RNA", at positions 29 to 507 of the family's 1533-position model. The record is from RNAcentral.
AGUGAACGCUGGCGGUAGGCCUAACACAUGCAAGUCGAACGGCAGCACAGUAAGAGCUUGCUCUUACGGGUGGCGAGUGGCGGACGGGUGAGGAAUACAUCGGAAUCUGCUUUUUCGUGGGGGAUAACGUAGGGAAACUUACGCUAAUACCGCAUACGGCCUACGGGUGAAAGCAGGGGAUCUUCGGACCUUGCGCGAUUGAAUGAGCCGAUGUCGGAUUAGCUAGUUGGCGGGGUAAAGGCCCACCAAGGCGACGAUCCGUAGCUGGUCUGAGAGGAUGAUCAGCCACACUGGAACUGAGACACGGUCCAGACUCCUACGGGAGGCAGCAGUGGGGAAUAUUGGACAAUGGGCGCAAGCCUGAUCCAGCCAUACCGCGUGGGUGAAGAAGGCCUUCGGGUUGUAAAGCCCUUUUGUUGGGAAAGAAAAGCAGCAGGUUAAUACCCCGCUGUUCUGACGGUACCCAAAGAAUAAGCACCGGCUAACUUCGUG